GGGGAUAGUUUUGUGCUUUUUACUGAAAACUAGAACGCAUUCUUGACGCGGCCUAGGGGAUAGUUUUGUGCUUUUUACUGAAAACUAGAACGCAUUCUUGAUAGGCAAAUCACAAGCCACAGGCGGUUACCAGCUAUAAUGGCAUAGUCUAGAGUGCGUGCCAUUUUUCACAGGCGGUUACCAGCUAUAAUGGCAUAGUCUAGAGUGCGUGCCAUUUUUCCUUUCGAAUAGUGGAUUUUGCAGUUAUUAAGGAAAUGGUCGGUUUUCCUUGUUUUUGGAAGCAACCUUUUGGGCCAGGGCAAGCAGUCGAGCGCAAAUAGUUGGAUUUCCUAAUCAAAGCAGGGUCAUAUAGGGGUGCUGUUGUCAAAUCAUGGAGGGUUUAAAGUAGUUGAAGCACUAAAAUAUUAUUUUCCUUCCAUGAAAUCAUGAAACACAUUGCGAUUUUUCUCCUUUCUUGUGUUUCAUAAAUCACCACUUGAAUAAAGAUCCUUCUCUCUUAGUUUAAAUAUAUGAACGAAAUGAGACACCCUUUUCUACGUUCAUGUGUUUGUCGAUAUUUUGAUACUCAAGUACUCCUUUAUGGAUUUAAUUAUGCCGUACGUGUAUUUUAUGAAGAUCAAAUGGAUUUAGUUGGGCAGCAUCGCUAUUGCUAUUUGAUUUGUCAUAUUGUAAUUUUAUCAAAAAAGAUCAAUCUGAUCUCUUAAUUAUAUCAUGACAAAUGAUUGAAAUGCAUGAGCAGUUAUUUUGUUUCAAUGCUAUACAGUAUAUUUAUAUAUGUGUGUGUUUAAAAUUUUGGAUACAUCAAACAUGCAAUUUCGACAACCAGCCACUCCUUCUCGCGUUUCAGCAAUUAAUGCCGAAGAAUUCUGCUCUUAAUCACUAUGCUUCUCUUCCUUUGUCAAAGAAAUCUUUAUUUUGCUCGCAGCACCAUGUUGCAAUGCACGUAUUUCAAGCAUCCGUCUAGCAUAAACAAAGACAAGAUGCUUCAAACUAAUUGUGUCAAAUGUUUAUAUCUUUUCAAGUCGUCGUCGUUGUCAUUAAUUAAUCAAUUUAAGCAGUUCUAUACAUUUUUUCUUUUUUUAAAAAGAAAAAAGCAGAAGAAAGUUAGCCCC
Molecule: long non-coding RNA, 1112 nt
Filed under: Populus trichocarpa (black cottonwood)
Lineage: Eukaryota; Viridiplantae; Streptophyta; Magnoliopsida; Malpighiales; Salicaceae
Description: long non-coding RNA (PTRI_LNC000662)
Source: RNAcentral